This 426-nucleotide ribosomal RNA is filed under the name uncultured bacterium. RNAcentral's name for it is "bacterial SSU rRNA". It matches the Rfam family "Bacterial small subunit ribosomal RNA", at positions 359 to 776 of the family's 1533-position model. The record is from RNAcentral.
GAAUUGUUCGCAAUGGGCGCAAGCCUGACGACGCAACGCCGCGUGGGGGAUGAAGGUCCUCGGAUUGUAAACCCCUGUCGAGCGGGACGAAUGGCCCGCGACCUAAUACGUCGUGGGAGUGACGGUACCGCUAAAGGAAGCCACGGCUAACUCUGUGCCCGCAGCCGCGGUAAUACAGAGGUGGCAAGCGUUGUUCGGAAUUACUGGGCGUAAAGGGCGCGUAGGCGGCCUCCUAAGUCAGACGUGAAAUCCCCCGGCUCAACCUGGGAACUGCGUCUGAUACUGGGAGGCUUGAGUGCGGGAGAGGGAUGUGGAAUUCCAGGUGUAGCGGUGAAAUGCGUAGAUAUCUGGAGGAACACCGGUGGCGAAGGCAGCAUCCUGGACCGACACUGACGCUGAGGCGCGAAAGCUAGGGUAGCAAACGGG